CUCCUAAAUGUUCUGGGCCACACGCGCACUACACUGACAGAGUGAGCGAGUUUGAUCUCGCUUGUGCGAGCCUGCCUCGAAGGAGGUGGGAAAUCUUGGAAAACUCUGUCGUGAUUGGGAUCGAAGAUUGCAAUUAUUCUUCUUGAACGAGGAAUACCUAGUAGGCGCAGGUCAUCAGCCUGCACUGAUUACGUCCCUGCCAUUUGUACACACCGCCCGUCGUUGCUACCGAUUGGGUGCAAGAUAGAGUUUGUUGGAUUGGUCCACGCGGGCUCGCCCACGAUGCAUCAGGAAUUCAAGCAAUGUUUUACAUCUAGAGGAAGCAAAAGUCGUAACA
Molecule: ribosomal RNA, 337 nt
Filed under: uncultured eukaryote
Lineage: Eukaryota
Description: partial 18S ribosomal RNA
Rfam family: Eukaryotic small subunit ribosomal RNA
Source: RNAcentral